GGCCCAAAUUUGAAGUAGAGUAGAUUAGGAGGAUCAUUCGACUCUACUGAACUACUCUACUUCGAGUUUGUGCCC
Haemonchus placei is the source of this 75-nucleotide non-coding RNA. Lineage: Eukaryota; Metazoa; Nematoda; Chromadorea; Rhabditida; Trichostrongylidae. The record is from Rfam.